Catharus ustulatus (Swainson's thrush) is the source of this 492-nucleotide non-coding RNA. Lineage: Eukaryota; Metazoa; Chordata; Aves; Passeriformes; Turdidae. The record is from the annotation of a RefSeq genome assembly.
CGGGCGACCAUGACCCCGCUGGAGUGCGGGGGGGACCUCCAGCCCCCCGGGGGGUCCCUGACUCUGCUCUGCCGCGGCAAUGGAUUCAAUUUUGGAAGUCACGACAUGUACUGGGUCCGUCAGAGCCCCGGAAAGGCGCUGGAAUGGCUCGCAGGAAUCUACAGCACUGGUGGCAGCACCUACUACGCGCCAUCGGUCAAGGGCCGGUUCACGAUCUCCCGGGACAACGGGCAGAGUUCGGUGACCCUGACCAUGAACAGCCUCAAGGACGAGGAUUCCGGCGUUUAUUUCUGUGCCAGAUGUUACAGCAGUGGUUAUACUACUGCUGGUGCUGGUCUUGCUGGUCUCGGAGAUGAUUCCAGCUAUGGUAGAAUGCUCGAAGUGCUGGGCUCCCCUGACCCAACUCUUGGCCGUUCCUCCAAAGCUUUGAGCUCUGCGCCCCAACCUCAGCACUCGACCCUGGAUCCAAACUUUGGUGUUAAAAACUUUUAA